GGUUCUGUAAUGUUCAACAUAUUAGAUUGCAAAUCUAACGGUGUGGGUUAGACCCCAUCAGAGCUU
This 66-nucleotide transfer RNA is filed under the name Kaupichthys hyoproroides (false moray). Its description in RNAcentral is "tRNA-Cys". It matches the Rfam family "tRNA". Rfam says of the family: Transfer RNA (tRNA) molecules are approximately 80 nucleotides in length. Their secondary structure includes four short double-helical elements and three loops (D, anti-codon, and T loops). The record is from RNAcentral. Lineage: Eukaryota; Metazoa; Chordata; Actinopteri; Anguilliformes; Chlopsidae.